GUCCCGCCUGCCCUGUGACAUAUGUUUAACGGCCGCGGUAUUUUGACCGUGCAAAGGUAGCGCAAUCACUUGUCUUUUAAAUGAAGACCUGUAUGAAUGGCACGACGAGGGCUUAACUGUCUCCUUCUUCCCGUCAGUGAAAUUGAUCUCCCCGUGCAGAAGCGGGGAUAAGCCCAUAAGACGAGAAGACCCUGUGGAGCUUUAGACACCAAGACAGCUCCCGUUAAAAAGGCUCACCCUCCUAAAACCCCGCUCUGUCUUACUGUCUUUGGUUGGGGCGACCGCGGAGAAUCAUAAAACCUCCAUGUGGAUUGAGAACACCAUCUCUUGCAACCAAGAGCUCCUGCUCCAAGCAACAGAACAUCUGACCAAAAAUGAUCCGGCAAAGCCGAUCAACGAACCGAGUUACCCCAGGGAUAACAGCGCAAUCCUCUUUUAGAGCCCAUAUCGACAAGAGGGUUUACGACCUCGAUGUUGGAUCAGGACAUCCUAAUGGUGCAGCCGCUAUUAAGGGUUCGUUUGUUCAACGAUUAAAG
This 536-nucleotide ribosomal RNA is filed under the name Enneanectes boehlkei (roughhead triplefin). RNAcentral's name for it is "partial 16S ribosomal RNA". It matches the Rfam family "Bacterial large subunit ribosomal RNA", at positions 1852 to 2593 of the family's 2925-position model. Lineage: Eukaryota; Metazoa; Chordata; Actinopteri; Blenniiformes; Tripterygiidae. The record is from RNAcentral.